GAUGAACGCUGGCGGCGUGCCUAAUACAUGCAAGUCGAGCGAACAGACGAGGAGCUUGCUCCUCUGACGUUAGCGGCGGACGGGUGAGUAACACGUGGAUAACCUACCUAUAAGACUGGGAUAACUUCGGGAAACCGGAGCUAAUACCGGAUAAUAUAUUGAACCGCAUGGUUCAAUAGUGAAAGACGGUUUUGCUGUCACUUAUAGAUGGAUCCGCGCCGCAUUAGCUAGUUGGUAAGGUAACGGCUUACCAAGGCAACGAUGCGUAGCCGACCUGAGAGGGUGAUCGGCUACACUGGAACUGAGACACGGUCCAGACUCCUACGGGAGGCAGCAGUAGGGAAUCUUCCGCAAAGGGCGAAAGCCUGACGGAGCAACGCCGCGUGAGUGAUGAAGGUCUUCGGAUCGUAAAACUCUGUUAUUAGGGAAGAACAAAUGUGUAAGUAACUAUGCACGUCUUGACGGUACCUAAUCAGAAAGCCACGGCUAACUACGUG
Molecule: ribosomal RNA, 497 nt
Filed under: uncultured bacterium
Lineage: Bacteria
Description: partial 16S ribosomal RNA
Rfam family: Bacterial small subunit ribosomal RNA
Source: RNAcentral